Molecule: non-coding RNA, 93 nt
Organism: Hyaloscypha hepaticicola
Lineage: Eukaryota; Fungi; Ascomycota; Leotiomycetes; Helotiales; Hyaloscyphaceae
Source: the annotation of a GenBank genome assembly
GCGUUUGUGGUUUAGUGGUAAAAUCCAUCGUUGCCAAAUACGGCAAGUAUUAGCAACUUCGAUGGGCCCCGGGUUCGAUUCCCGGCGAACGCA